UGGGGAAUAUUGGACAAUGGGCGCAAGCCUGAUCCAGCCAUGCCGCGUGUGUGAAGAAGGCCUUUUGGUUGUAAAGCACUUUAAGCGAGGAGGAGGCUACUUGGAUUAAUACUCUAGGAUAGUGGACGUUACUCGCAGAAUAAGCACCGGCUAACUCUGUGCCAGCAGCCGCGGUAAUACAGAGGGUGCGAGCGUUAAUCGGAUUUACUGGGCGUAAAGCGUGCGUAGGCGGCUUCUUAAGUCGGAUGUGAAAUCCCUGAGCUUAACUUAGGAAUUGCAUUCGAUACUGGGAAGCUAGAGUAUGGGAGAGGGUGGUAGAAUUCCAGGUGUAGCGGUGAAAUGCGUAGAGAUCUGGAGGAAUACCGAUGGCGAAGGCAGCCAUCUGGCCUAAUACUGACGCUGAGGUACGAAAGCAUGGGGAGCAAACAGG
This 430-nucleotide ribosomal RNA is filed under the name bacterium. Its description in RNAcentral is "partial 16S ribosomal RNA". It matches the Rfam family "Bacterial small subunit ribosomal RNA", at positions 355 to 776 of the family's 1533-position model. The record is from RNAcentral.